Molecule: ribosomal RNA, 907 nt
Filed under: uncultured archaeon
Lineage: Archaea
Description: bacterial SSU rRNA
Rfam family: Archaeal small subunit ribosomal RNA
Source: RNAcentral
UUCCGGUUGUACCUGCCGGAGGCUACUGCUAUUGGAAUCCGAUUAAGCCAUGCGAGUCUAAAGGACUUCGGUCCUUGGCGGACGGCUCAGUAACACGUGGAGAACCUGCCCUCAGGAGGGGGAUAACCCCGGGAAACUGGGAAUAAUACCCCAUAGGUCUAGGAUGCUGGAAUGCUUCUAGGCUGAAAGCUCCGGCGCCUGAGGAUGGCUCUGCGGCUUAUCAGGUUGUAGUGAGGGUAACGUCCUCACUAGCCUAUGACGGGUACGGGCCCUGAGAGGGGAAGCCCGGAGAUGGACUCUGAGACACGAGUCCAGGCCCUACGGGGCGCAGCAGGCGCGAAAACUCCGCAAUGCUCGAAAGAGUGACGGGGGGAUUCCAAGUGCCUACGCUCAGCGUAGGCUGUUCAGAUGCCUAAAAAGCAUCUGGAGUAAGGGCUGGGUAAGACGGGUGCCAUCUGUGGCAGCAGCCGAAAAUUUGGCUUGCUACUGCAAGGCAUAAGCCGCCGCGGUAAUACCCGCAGCUCGAGUGGUAGUCGAUUUUAUUGGGCCUAAAGCGUCCGUAUCCGGUCUGGUAAAUGCUUGGGUAAAUCGUCUGGCUUAACCAGAUGAAUUCCGGGUAGACUACCAGACUUGGGGACCGGUUGAGGAAGAGGGUACUUUCAGGGGGGUAGGAGUGAAAUCCUGUAAUCCUUGAAGGACCACCAGUGGGCGAAGGCGCUCUUCUAGGACGGGUCCGACGGUGAGGGACGAAAGCCAGGGGAGCAAACCGGAUUAGAUACCCGGGUAGUCCUGGCCGUAAACGAUGUGGGCUUGGCAUUGGGGGUUCUACGUGAGCGCCCAGUGUCGUAGCGAAGGMGKUAAGCCCACCGCCUGGGAAGUAUGGUCGCAAGGCUGAAACUAAAGGAAU